GAUGAACGCUAGCGGCAGGCUUAACACAUGCAAGUCGAGGGGUAACAGGGAGAAGCUUGCUUUUCCGCUGACGACCGGCGCACGGGUGCGUAACGCGUAUGCAACCUACCUUAUACUGGGGUAUAGCCCGGAGAAAUUCGGAUUAAUCCCCCAUAGUAUUGACUACUCGCAUGAUUGGUUAAUUAAAGGUUACGGUAUAAGAUGGGCAUGCGUCCUAUUAGCUAGAUGGUAAGGUAACGGCUUACCAUGGCAACGAUAGGUAGGGGGCCUGAGAGGGUGAUCCCCCACACUGGUACUGAGACACGGACCAGACUCCUACGGGAGGCAGCAGUGAGGAAUAUUGGUCAAUGGACGCAAGUCUGAACCAGCCAUGCCGCGUGCAGGAAGACGGUCCUAUGGAUUGUAAACUGCUUUUAUUUGUGAAUAAACCCCUUUACGUGUAGAGGGCUGAAGGUAACAAAUGAAUAAGCACCGGCUAACUCCG
This 484-nucleotide ribosomal RNA is filed under the name uncultured Fluviicola sp. RNAcentral describes it as "bacterial SSU rRNA". It matches the Rfam family "Bacterial small subunit ribosomal RNA", at positions 28 to 505 of the family's 1533-position model. Lineage: Bacteria; Pseudomonadati; Bacteroidota; Flavobacteriia; Flavobacteriales; Crocinitomicaceae. The record is from RNAcentral.